UUGAUCCUGGCUCAGAUUGAACGCUGGCGGCAUGCCUAACACAUGCAAGUCGCACGCGAAAGGGGGCAACCCCGAGUAGAGUGGCGGACGGGUGCGUAACGCGUAGGAAUAUACCUGGUAGUGGGGGACAACCCGGCGAAAGCCGGGCUAAUACCGCAUACGAUCUACGGAUGAAAGCAGGGGACCGCAAGGCCUUGCGCUAUCAGAUUAGCCUGCGUCGGAUUAGCUAGUUGGUGAGGUAACGGCUCACCAAGGCAACGAUCCGUAGCUGGUUUGAGAGAACGACCAGCCACACUGGGACUGAGACACGGCCCAGACUCCUACGGGAGGCAGCAGUGCCGAAUAUUGGACAAUGGGGGCAACCCUGAUCCAGCAAUGCGCGCUGUGUGAAGAAGGCCUUCGGGUUGUAAAGCACUUUCGAUGGGGAUUCACAAGCCAGACCUAACACGUCUGGCCCUGAUGGUACCCAGAGAAGAAGCACCGGCUAACUCUGUGCCAGCAGCCGCGGUAAUACAGAGGGUGCGAGCGUUAAUCGGAAUUACUGGGCGUAAAGGGUGCGUAGGUGGUUUGUUAAGUCAGGCGUGAAAUGGGCCCCUUCAACCUGGGAACUGCGUGGGAUACUGGCAGACUCGAGUCUGGUAGAGGGUAGUGGAAUUCCGCAUGUAGCGGUGAAAUGCGUAGAUAUGCGGAGGAACAUCAGUGGCGAAGGCGGCUACCUGGACCAAGACUGACACUGAGGCACGAAAGCGUGGGGAUCACAGGAAAUUAGAUACCCUGGUAGUCCACGCCCUAAACGAUGGGUACUAGACGUUGGGAGGUUUAUCCUCUUGGUGUCGCAGCUAACGCAAUAAGUACCCCGCCUGGGGAGUACGGUCGCAAGAUUAAAACU
RNAcentral lists this ribosomal RNA (889 nucleotides) under uncultured bacterium. RNAcentral's name for it is "bacterial SSU rRNA". It matches the Rfam family "Bacterial small subunit ribosomal RNA", at positions 13 to 901 of the family's 1533-position model. The record is from RNAcentral.